GUGAAUUGCAGAAUUCAGUGAAUCAUCGAAUCUUUGAACGCACAUUGCGCCCGCUGGUAUUCCGGCGGGCAUGCCUGUCCGAGCGUCAUUUCAACCCUCAGGCCCUGCCUGGUGUUGGGGUACCACUGCCGUGGGCCCCUAAAGUCAGCGGCGGGCACGGCCCGGAC
RNAcentral lists this ribosomal RNA (167 nucleotides) under Chaetosphaeriaceae sp. RNAcentral's name for it is "5.8S ribosomal RNA". The stretch from base 1 to 88 matches the Rfam family "5.8S ribosomal RNA", at positions 67 to 154 of the family's 154-position model. From Rfam's summary of the family: 5.8S ribosomal RNA (5.8S rRNA) is a component of the large subunit of the eukaryotic ribosome. It is transcribed by RNA polymerase I as part of the 45S precursor that also contains 18S and 28S rRNA. Lineage: Eukaryota; Fungi; Ascomycota; Sordariomycetes; Chaetosphaeriales; Chaetosphaeriaceae. The record is from RNAcentral.